ACCAUUUUUUGCUGCCCCUUCCCCAAAUGGACUGCAACCAGUAUUUGUCCACCAUGGUUGCACCACUAUGCACAGGGACAGAGAAUCUGGGGGAGUGAUUGUGAGAGGAUAAUUUUGGGAUACAUCCCACAUUUGUCUGAUUCAUUCUACUUCAAAACUUACUUUUACCAUUCUGCUGCUACAGGACUAAAGAUAUUAUCAUUAUUAAUUUUUUUUUUAAAAGAAGAAACCUAAGAUUCUCCUUACAUUUCAAGGUCCUCCAGAUCUAGGGCCCUAUUUUCAUCAACUUUAGGGGACCCACAGUCUGGCUUUUUCUGGAAUAAUACAGGGCAAGCAGGGAACUGUUCAGCCUGGAGCUACCAUGGUCAGAAGGGAGAGACACACAGGUCUCCUCAAGGUGCUCCAAGAAAGGCAACGGCUAGAGAGCACAGAGUGAGAGCCCUUGCUGAUCCGCUAAAAGGAAACACAGGUGCAGUUGCCCUAAACUGUAACAGAAGGGAACAUAAACUUCAAGUGCUGUGCUGUAGCUAAGAGGGCUAAUGAAAUUCUUGGAUGUAAAAGUAGAAGAAGGAGGAGCAGAAAGAUGGUAUUACCCCUGUAUAUGGCAUUAGUGAGAUCCUGAUGGAUACAGUAUCCAGUGCUGCUGGCCAUAAUUUAAAAUGGGUGUUGAAAAAAAUGGAAAAUUCAGGAGAGAGCUGCAAAAUGAUUUUAGGUCGGAAAAAACUGCUUUAUAGCAACAGAUUUAAGAAGCUCAAUCUGUUCAGUCAAUCCAAGAGGAGGUUAUGAAUUAAAAGGUGAUUUGAUCACAAUCUACAAAUACUUACAUGGGGAAGAGAUUUCUGGUAGGUUUUAAUCUAUCAGAAAAAGGCAGAAUGAGAUCCAAUGGUUGGAAGCUGAAGCUGGACAAAUUCCAACGAGUAAUAAGUCUUGCCAUGUAAAUGGCAGAAUGGAUCAAGCUCCUGCAAAAGAAAUGGAAAGAAAAUGUUUUACAUCAUGAAUUUAAAAAGCCACAACAUGGCUACUUCGUGAUGACAUGACCGCCACCAUCCUCUGUAAUGGGUUGGAGACAGACUCGUUCAUCAUCUGUACUGGUUAAGCAGGGCUGCGUUAUUGCCCCAACUCCUUUUUCCAUAUAGCUUGCCAUAAUCUUGAUUCUUAUUCAUGACUGCCUUUCUUCUGGAAUUGGGAUUGAGUAGCGAAUGGACAGCCAGUUCUUCAAUCUGUGGCAUCUUCAUUCUAAAACUAAAGUCACCAGGACUGUUGUUAUCGAUCUUCAUUAUGCGGAUGACUGUGCUAUCCUCAGCACACUGAGGCUAACUUGCAAUCCACUCUAGAUCUCUUCUCCGGUGCCUACUAUACCCUAAGACUUUCCCUCAGCAUUGGGACAACUAAGGUGCUCUACCAGCCAGCCCCAGCACAAGUUGCCACCCACAAAUUGUCAUUCUUCCCCCACAAUUUGUCAUUGGUGGUGAGCCCCUGGAAAACAUUGAGCAUUUCCCUUACCUUGGUAGCCACCUCUCCCAAAAAGCCAAUCUUAACGGGGAGAUUCAACAUAGGAUACAUUGAGUCAGUGUAACCUUCAGAAAGUUGCUCCGUCAUGUCUUUAUUUACAGAGAUCUGCGGAUGGAAACUAAGAUCCUGGAAACUAAGAGGCUGCAGUAGUCAUCCUCACUCUUCUUUAUGGGUGCGAGACACGGAUGACAUAUUGAAACCAUCUAAAGCAUCUGGAGCGAUACCACCAGCCUUCGGAAGAUUCUCCAUAUCAGAUGAGAAGAUUGUCGCAUGAAUGCCAGUGUUCGCUCUGCAGCUAACAUCACCAGUGUCGAGGUGAAGAUUAUGAAACCUCAACUUAGUUGGGCUGGUCAUUGUGUGCAAAUGUCUGAUACUUGUCUUCCGAAGCAAGUCCUCUUUUCUCAACUUAAUCAUGGUAAGAGGACCUCAUGGGGGACAGAGGAAAUGCUACAAGGACACCCAACAUUGGGAAGAGCUCAGCUUGCUGGUAAUAGACUGCAAUGUCAUCACAUCUUACAUCAAGCCUCAGUCCGUUUUGAAGAGAAUCACCUUGCGCAAGAGGCUGAGAAAUGGCAGAGGAGGAAGGAAUGCAUACAGCAUCCCGGCCAGCAGUUGUACUCUCUCCAAGCAACCACCUGUCACAUAUGUGGAAACACCUAUACAGCAUGAAUUGGACACCUCAGCCAUCCUAAAUCUCACCGGUGAUUUUCUCCAUGGCAGAAAUCAUCCUCAUAUAGAGGGAUAGCUGCUGACAUCUCAUGGUCCUGCUCUUCUACUUGUUAUUACACUGAUCACAUGCCCUUCCAAAACAUCUCUGUGGCAGCUACAACAAUUGCUUACAUGGAAAAGUAAUAAUAGGAAAAUAUUUAAUGCAUUUUAGCUGUCGUUUAAUGUGAUUUAGCAGCAGAAAUAAGACAGGCAACACCAUGUAUCCAGCAAGCCCUCCAUGAACCAACAUAUCCUGCAGAUCACAGUUUGAGAACCCAUUCCUGAUUUAGAAAUAUUCAGGGAGCAAAUUUCAGGGGCAGUGAAAACAUCCUAAGCUUCCCUUGUGUCAGGUGGCGGAACUUUUGAAAGGGGUACUUUGAAGCCCCCGCCCAAAGAUCCUAGCAGCAUGUUACUGCUUUAAAUAUGAAACAAAACCAACCCCAACUCCUUUGCAAAGACUCAAAGAAUUGGAUCUUUGGUGUCUUGUGGCUGACCUGGAACUAAAAGUGUUAGUUGUCAUAUGCCUGCUGUGAAAUCCGUGAACUACGUUUGCCAAGUCCUAACUAGCAUGUUAUGAUCAACUUAAUUAGGCAAAGAAUGUAUCCUUACAUAGCUUGCCAAACUUUUUGAGCAAUGCCUUCUGGGAAUGUAUUGUGAUCAACUAUUUUCUUAAUACCCUGUUUCAAGUGCUUCUAAUGAUGUACAGUAUAUAAAAGUGAAAAAAAAAGCAAGCUUUGUUCUGUCAUGCAGUACUUAGAAACUAGUACUUUAAACUAAUUUGUCAAAAUAACAUUAAUCUAUGGGCCUGAUUCAUUCUGUUCUCACAGUUGCUUUACACUAAUGUAACUCCAUUGAAGUAAACGGAGUUACUGCUGAUUUACACUGGUGUAAGUGAGAGCAGAAUCAGUCCCUAUUAAUCUCUGAAAUUUAUAGCACUGGGUCAAGGUGAAAUCAGUGCAUUGAAGUGUAACCUCCAUAAGAUUAAACACUUGUUUGUGAGCCCUAUUAUGCAGACCUAGGGAGCUCAUGUAAACACAAUCCCACUGGCAACAAUCACUGCAGAACCAAAAAAUGAUCUGAACUGGAACACUGUUAUAGGCUCUAGCAAUCACAGAAAUUAAAGCCCAUUUUUCCCAAAAAUAGCCAGUGCAGGUUAGGAAAGGACCUUUUGAAUGGACCAAAAGCCAGAGAAUUUUCUCCACAGGUAAAGGAAGUAAGUGCUGAGCUGAAACUUGAGAGAGUCAGUUCUCUGCUAUCACUAGUUUUUGCUAUUGACACAAAAGCAUCUGAGACUCUGUGUAGUCUGUAAGGACUUUGGAAGAGAGCCAGCUCAGAGACCCAGAAGCACUUCCCCAUUCUACACUCCUCAGAAGCUCCUGCUUCUCUCCUCUUAUCAAGGUGAAUGGAAUCUCAAGUGGAUCUAGAUAACCACCUGCUAUAGUUUAGAGUAGGUUCCACAGCCUUCCCCUUUCACAGGAAAACUCAUACCCCAUUUGUUUCUGAGAGAUCUCCAAGCUACUGUUGCUUUGUGCAGUCUUCUCUUCUGUUCCCUGUCUCCUGCUCACCAGUGUAACAGGCCCCACAAUCUGCUAACACAGUCUGUAGUUUUUGCAUAAGUGAGACCCAUUCAGUGGGGGUGUUUGUGGGGGAGAAACUGUAUUCUGAGCAAUUAGAUCAUUUAUUUUAUCUGCAAGAGAGUUGUUUCAGGUGUGAACAGGUGCCCUUCCCAACCUGCUCUACAAGACAGUCCAAGCUCACCCAUUUCCUGGGGGUUGGCUUUAUUAACAAAUAAACUAGUUUUUUAUUUUUUCAAAUUAAAUUUUUUAAUAAAAAAUGGCUUUUUAGAUGAACAUUUUCAUGAAAAUUUGUCAACGUUAUGGAAGUUUUUGCUUUGUCAUUUUUAUCAAAAUACCCACUGAAAUUUUUCAUUGACUGAAAACUGGGUUUUUAGUAAACAAAAUAUUGAUAAUUUUUCAAUAAAAAGUCAUUGAAAAAAAUCACUAAAUAAAUAAUGGGUGCACUUGGAGUCCUGUGAAACCACAAACCACCUCUGAAUGUUUUCCAUUUGUUGACCACUUCUACCAUGGAUGUCAUUGAUAUGUUACUGCCACCUGUUGGAAGGGUUGGGGAAUACAGGGAUAGAAUGCAAAAGAAGAGAAUGCCUGGCUUGGGGUCUACGUAGUGAGCCCAGAAUUUCUCAUGGAUCUCUGGCAUCCCAGUUAUCUGGUCAAGCUUCCUGCCCUCACUCUGUCACAUCAGAACUGUUUGAUGCUGGCAGACCAGGUGCCGCCUCAUGCCUAGGCCUCUCUGAACACUGACAAAUGCAUAGCUGGAAACCUAUCUGACUCACCUGUGUGUUAAUAUUGUUAAAAUAGGUACUAUAUUUAGAGAAAUGUGUUUAGUGUUUGGACUUUAUGAAGUGCUUGUGAGUUGCUGCAUGCAUUAAUCUCAAUUAUAAUAUCUGUAUCCCAUGUUAUAAAGCAAUAUUUAAGUGUUUGCUAUGAAACUAGAAACCCCCAUAGUCAGGAGAGAAGCAUUUCCAAGUGUAAAAUACUAGUUUACAACAAGAGGUAUCAGAUCCUGGCAAACAAAGGAAGACCUGUAGACACUAGAUGAACCUUUGUGGAACAUCAGUGGACAAAAGACUUUGGGAAUGUCUUCACUGCACUUAAAGACCCAUGGCUGGCCCACGCCAGCUAAUUCAGUCUUGUGGGACUUGGGAUACAGGGCGGUUUUAAUUGUUGUGUAACGUUCAGGCUCAGGUUGCAGCCGAAGCUCUGGGACCCUCCCAUCUUGCAGGGUCUUAGAGGCAGGGCUUCAGUCCAAAUGUCUACACCACAAUUAGAUAGUCCCUUAGCCUGAGCCCAAGUCAGCCAGCCAGCCAUGGGUUUUUAUGUCCAGUGUAGACAUUAGUUUUGUUGAUUGUUUACCCUAUACCCAUGGAGAGGGGACAUGCACAAACACUUGUCCCAUCACAUCUUGAACUCUGGGGGAAGGGAAUAAAAAUCCCUGCCAAGAAGAAAUUGCCAUCACUAGGCUGCAUGGAAUUUGAAGAGGGCAAUAUUUCUAAGCAUAAGGAAGAAUCCCCAAUCUGCUUAGCUCUAAAGAACUACAGUGUUAGGUUCCAAAACCUAACUCAUUUGUGUGUGUGUGUAUGUUAAUCUGCUUUAACCUUGAAAAUAAUGUGUUUCCUUUUCUUAGUUAAUAAAUCUUUAGUUAGUUGAUUACAA
This is a long non-coding RNA of Caretta caretta (loggerhead turtle), 5450 nucleotides long. RefSeq lists it as uncharacterized. The record is from RefSeq and is a predicted model, not a curated record. NCBI's taxonomy places the organism in Eukaryota, Metazoa, Chordata, Testudines, Cheloniidae.